UGGUCCGUCUCGGGGCUCAUGCAGAUAAAUAUUCCCCACGGACUGUUUUUGAGAGUUUCUUUUUUGCUAGCAUCCUUUACUCUCAAGGAUCGGACAUGACCUCAAAAUUCCCUCUGUCGGUGCCCGGCUCCCCCAAAGGAGCUCACACAGGACUUUCACAUACAUGACAGGGUACUUAGUCCACAGAGAGCUCACAGUGACUUUCCUAUAUGUACUUGUCCGGCUCUCAAAGGACUUACCCAAGACUCAAUGACAGAAAUGGGCUAUUGAAGUCGCCUUGGUCCAAACCUCCUGAAACAACAUCAAAUAAUGCAAUGCGCCAUAUUCGUGAACUAAUGCAAUCAACCCUAUUACAUAUAAACAUGAUGCAUGAACAUGCUUUAGGCAUUUGAUUUUGUAU
Molecule: long non-coding RNA, 400 nt
Filed under: Manihot esculenta (cassava)
Lineage: Eukaryota; Viridiplantae; Streptophyta; Magnoliopsida; Malpighiales; Euphorbiaceae
Description: long non-coding RNA (MESC_LNC007578)
Source: RNAcentral